CGAGGUAGAAUAAAGCGACAAACAACAAAACGAACUCGAAAAGAGCGGAGGGCUCAAGCAAUAGAAUUUGGCCAUCUUAUUCCGUCCCCCCCCCUCUCUGUACAACCGUUUUGAUCUCAUUCCUUGUUGCCUCCGGCUACCAUAUAUUGAUUGGUGUUAUACAAAUCAAGUAGGCACCAUGUCCGAAGAGCAGUCUCAUGCUGAUCAGGAUGCCUACGUGGCCGACGUCGACGGCAUUCUGGACGUGCUCCGCGCGCAAGUGCUGGAGCGGAAGCCAGAUGACAUUUUCCAGUUCAUCUCCAAGUCAGCGCUUAGUCUGCAGAAGGAUAGGGGCGCAGAAUCGUGCGAUCGCAUCAACUGUAAGGUCAAGGAUGAACAGAAGAGUCGUGCGUUGACUAUUAUCGUGUUCGGUGCCAGCGGGGAUCUGGCCAAGAAGAAGACAUUUCCUGCCCUCUUCGAUCUGUACUGCGGUGGGCUCCUCCCCCCGGAGGUGAACAUUAUCGGCUAUGCUCGCACCAAGGUGGACGAUGUCGAGAAGUGGAAGCAUGAGACGCUCAUGAAGUAUUUUUCGAACUUGUCGGAGCGCGGAUGCCACGCCGAGGACUUCUUGAAACACAUCAGCUACUUUUGCGGAGCGUACGAUAGUGUGGACGACUUCAAGCGUCUUGACGCAGUGAUUCGCGAGAAGGAGAAUGCCUUUAAGGGCCCUGAGAAGGGUGGAAACCGUCUCUUCUACCUUGCUCUUCCCCCAUCGGUAUUUGCAAGUGUCUGCGAGAGCAUUCACAAGGGUGCAAUGCCGCAGGAAGUGGGGGGAUGGGUGCGGGUGAUCAUCGAGAAGCCCUUUGGCCGCGAUACCAAGAGCUCUGCUGAGCUGUCCCAAGCGCUGGAGCCGUUCUUCGACGAGUCGCAGCUGUACCGCAUUGACCACUACCUCGGGAAGGAGAUGGUGCAGAACAUCAUCACGACACGCUUCGCCAAUCGUAUCUUCAGCGCUGUGUGGAAUGCGAGCAACAUCGCGUGCGUGCAGAUCACGUUCAAGGAGACCAUCGGCACUGAGGGCCGCGGCGGAUACUUCGACAGCAUCGGCAUUAUUCGCGAUGUCAUGCAAAACCACCUCACCCAGAUUCUUGCCCUGCUGGCCAUGGAGAAGCCGCGGUCGCUGGACGCUGAGUGCAUCCGUGACGAGAAGGUGUCGGUACUGAAGUGCAUUGAGCCGAUAACCAAGGAGAAUUGUGUUCUGGGUCAGUACACUGCCUCCGCCGAUGGUUCCAUCCCUGGUUACCUUGAGGACGUGACCGUACCCGAGGGCAGCACUUGCCCCACAUUUGCCGUGAUGCGACUCAACAUCAACAACGACCGGUGGGCCGGUGUCCCUUUUAUUCUCAAGGCCGGCAAGGCUGUGGAACAGAAGUACGUGGCGAUUCGCAUUCAGUUCAGGGAUGAGGUCCACCCCUACGGCGAGGCGACACAACGCAACGAGCUCGUCAUCCGUGCCCAGCCGUCCGAGGCUAUGUAUGUCAAGAUCACCACAAAGGUUCCUGGCCUUAGUGGAGAUUUGCGGCAGACGCACCAGACAGAGCUGGACCUCACAUACCACACUCGGUACGAUGUGCGCCUUCCAGACGCCUACGAGAGCCUCAUCAACGACGCACUGCUGGGCAACUCGACAAACUUUGUGCGUAAGGACGAGCUCGAUGUGGCAUGGCGCAUCUUCACGCCGCUCCUGCACCAGAUUGACUCUGGAGAGAUCAAACCGAUCCCGUACCAGGCCGGCACGCGCGGGCCUAAGGAAGCGGAUGAAUUCAUCGCCAACAACGGCUUCAAGCACCAGAAAGGCUACCACUGGCUUCCGUCGAACAAGCUGUGAUGAAGGCAGACAUUGCAGUCUGUUUCACAGUACCCUGUCGACGACAGCGAGAGAGUCAGGGUGUUAUACACUGGAUGCGUGCCUAUCCGCCCCCAGAAAUCACGUGGUCGCGCUCUGCGGUACACACCGACCAACGCUGCGGAUACAACACGGAGAAGAGAGGAGAGAGGGAUAGUCAGCGGCUGUCAAGGCGGCCCCGUGAGCUGCCAAUUUGCAUCCCGUACCUCUACUGUCUACGCACCUCUUUUUCUCGUUCUCCCUUGUUCUCCCCCUCCCCCAUGCGUGCGCACUGUGGCCCGGACAGCUAGAGGAUGUGUGAGCCGUUUCACCUUACAGACAGCGCCUUACGCCUUUCUUCGGCUCUGGUUGACUUUGUUCCUGCCUAUUUCUGUACCGGUGGUACCUCUCCCACUACCCUCCUCCGGCUCACUUGCAGCACGCGGCGUAAGCUUCGCUGCGGCACCAUUUCUGACGCCUCUGCUGUGGAUGCCAAAAGGGAGACUCCACGUUGAUUGAGACUUCGCUACUGGUGAUCAAAGGGUGGAGGGUUGGCAAGGGAAAGGAUGGGUGCCCAGGGUGCUAGCGGAAGUCGUAAAAUGUGCGGAAGCACAAGAGGAGAGACAGGAAAACGGAUGAGAGAUAGAUCGCUGGAUUCUGAGGAGAAUGCGCGGGCACCCAACACGGAGGCACGCAGACGAUGCGAAUGCUGUUCUCACGUUUAUUUUUCCUUUGCCUUUUUUUUUGUUAUUUGCUUUGGUCGGCCUGUUUUUUUUUCCUCUUGUGCAGCUACUUUUGUAUGCAGAUUUUUACUUUGCUUGUGUCGGUUCUGGAGUUGCCUCUCGCCGCCCUCCCCCCCCCCUCUCCACCCCCCCCCGAAAAAAAAAAACACACACCGCCCCUCGGACGUUCCGCUCCCUCCCCGUACGCAUUUCCGACCGUUCUCCCUCCCAUUCUGCGUACGUAAAUUACAUUUUUGCUUUCCUUAUUUGCUAUCAUAGUCACUUAGGGGUACAUUCACACGUACCAUGAGCGUGGCGCAGCGAGGUGCCCAGCCAUCCGGAAAGGAUCGAGAAGAGGCAUGCGAAAGGAUUGAAAACGAAGGGUAGGCCUCGUUUAAGCAGCAGCAAUACAGACGCGUAUAGGAGUGACAAGCAUUCCUGAUUGACUUCGCGAAUAUGGAAUGUGCUCG
Molecule: unclassified non-coding RNA, 3056 nt
Filed under: Leishmania donovani
Lineage: Eukaryota; Euglenozoa; Kinetoplastea; Trypanosomatida; Trypanosomatidae
Description: gene:LdHU3.34.0110(CDS-product:glucose-6-phosphat e_1-dehydrogenase_putative)
Source: RNAcentral